This 459-nucleotide ribosomal RNA is filed under the name uncultured bacterium. Its description in RNAcentral is "partial 16S ribosomal RNA". It matches the Rfam family "Bacterial small subunit ribosomal RNA", at positions 338 to 795 of the family's 1533-position model. The record is from RNAcentral.
CCUACGGGUGGCAGCAGUGAGGAAUAUUGGUCAAUGGGCGCAAGCCUGAACCAGCCAAGCCGCGUGAGGGAUGAAGGCUCUAUGGAUUGUAAACCUCUUUUAUAAGGGGAUAAAGUGCGAGACGUGUCCCGGUUUGAAUGUACCUUAUGAAUAAGGAUCGGCUAACUCCGUGCCAGCAGCCGCGGUAAUACGGAGGAUCCGAGCGUUAUCCGGUUUUAUUGGGUUAAAGGGGUGGGUAGGCGCCCUGUAAGUCAGCGGUGAAAGUCUGUGGCUCAACCACAGAAUUGCCGUUGAUACUGGCGGGCUGGAGUUUGUUUGCGGUAGGCGGAAUGCGUGGUGUAGCGGUGAAAUGCUUAGAUAUCACGCAGAACCCCGAUUGCGAAGGCAGCCUACCAAGCCAUGACUGACGCUGAUGCACGAAAGCGUGGGGAUCAAACAGGAUUAGAUACCCCUGUAGUC